UGCGGGGCCGCUCCCGGCACGGGGGAUGCGGGGUGCGGCGGGGCGCUGGCUCUGCCCCGGGACCGCGCUUGCUGCUCGAGACAGUUUUCAGCGGAGUGCACUGUACGCGCCCUCUAUAAAAUGGGAGGCACUUGACAGCCCCAGAUAACCGAGGGACUUCACUGGGAGCAAUACUUUAAAAAAAAAAAAAAAUUAAAAAAUUUAAAAAAUGUAUCCUGGCUGACUGUAUCAAUUCCACUGGUUAGGGAAAAGUGCUGCUGCCAGUUCACUGUAGUGUGCUUACAAUGGUUAUAGUGUGCCGUAUAAAAUCAUAUUCUCUCCUUACUGAUGUAUGGUACCUAACCAUGAGACCAAGGAAGAGGCAAAUGCUGUGCUUGGCAAGGCCCUGUCCAGUGCUAAUUGCGUGGACAGAUGAAAAGCCAGCGACACUUCAUGUGGACGGACAGGUCAUCCUGCAGGUCUCCAUUUACAUGCUUUGUUUCGUAGGUAAAGUCAGUGGAAGGGGCUGAGUAUUUCUGGCUCUGCAGGACCAGUCUACAUAUAUAACUGUCUUAAUAGGACCCUAAUGUAACAUACCUGUUUCUUUGUAUGUUUGGGUUGAAAUUUCUGUUCACUUUGGUUCUUACUGACCCAGCCAAUAAGGCAGUAAAAGCAAAGCAAAGAAGGAAGGGGAAAGGAUGGGGGAAGUAUUUUCAAACACACAGCUGUGCACACAUGUUCAGUCUAUGUCUUUAUUCCUAGGAUGUUUUAAUAAAUCCCCUGACUUAACUUGCUAGUCUGUAUGGCUUUAAAAAAGCAAAUUAAGACACCAAUCUGAAGCCCUGAAGGGUAUGACUCAGUGACAUAACAAUAAAUUUUAGUAUCUCCUGCUAAGUAAUUACACCAUAUCAUGUCACAACAAGGUAUUGUUGAAAUACUAUCAUGUAGCUCAUAUAGUGUCAAUUUUUUUAUUAUAAGCCUGUAAAAUAAACAGAAUGCUGUGUUACACACAUGGGCAUAAAAUACUUCAUUAAGGCUGUGAAAAGGAGUGCUGUAGUUUUCUUGCAUGAACAUGCUCAAGAUAAAGUAGGUACGUCCCAGUUUGCGUUCUUUUAUUCUGGGAAUUAGCAGAGGUUAAACAGCUAACUGGAACCCUUAGGUCAGAGGCAGAACUGUUUUGAUGUCAAAUAAUGAGAAAUGCCAAAAUAUUUAGUAGUAGCCAGCAUGCUGCUCCUGGUGAAGUCACUGGUUUUCUUGCUAUUAUCUAGCUCUGGCGUCAGGUGAACCUGUUUUAAUCUGGUAUAGUUUUACUGUCUUCUUGUGAAGUGGAAGAGGAGAGGGAGGAUCAAGAAUGAUGCUUUUGCACUGAUUGUACACCUCUCAGAAUUUUGUUGCCUUCCUGUGUUCUUUUUUGGCAAGUUCAAAUUCUGAAGGGAGCAGAAUCUUACUGAUUUUAGUGGAAAUUGAAAAACCAGAAGGGAGAAGCUGGGAGAAGAGAGAGUCCUUGCCAUCUGGUUAGCAGACCCAGCAGUUUUAACCAGGUCUGGAAGUGUUUCUAGAUCAAAGGACUGGUUGAUGGCAGCCCUUAACAUCUUCCAGCACAACACCUCUUCCAUCUCUGCUCUAACCAUCAUCCCCACAGAAUGCUUCUGUCUCAAAAUGGAAGGAAGAAAAGUGUAUGCAAGAGAGAUGGAAGAGAGGAAGAGAUCUUUAGAGAGGAGACAGUUGACCUGGAAGAGGAACAGGCAUAGCCAUGUGGCACUUUCCAAAGAUCCAAAGAUGCUUUCAGAAGCUUGGGUGUUGGUGCUGGGAGAACACUGCUGCUCAUGUGCAUGUUGAAGAGUUUGUCUGGGAUGUCUGAAUCACAUGGGACUAAGAAGAACAAGAUUAGGAGAACAUGAGGAUGGCUUUUCAGUUUACUCUCCUCUGUCUACAAUAAAGGCAUGCUCUCCUCAGGCUUCUUUGGAUCCCUUAUGAACAGCAAAAUUAUUCCUGUAGUGAGCACCUCUCAAAGGAACUGCUUCAGCAAAACCUCACCAGUAAGGCAUGGCAAAAGCAGAUUCACAUCAGUGAAGAAAUUCCACCUUUGGUAGAAGUUAUUUAGAAAUACCAUCAUAAAAAUCUGCUGUAAAAAUUCGGAACCAUAAUUUCUUAAAUAAAUUAAAGUUUUAUUUACAAAUAAAAUAUUAUCUACAUAAA
Corvus hawaiiensis (hawaiian crow) is the source of this 2178-nucleotide long non-coding RNA. RefSeq lists it as uncharacterized. The record is from RefSeq and is a predicted model, not a curated record. NCBI's taxonomy places the organism in Eukaryota, Metazoa, Chordata, Aves, Passeriformes, Corvidae. The transcript has 3 exons.